AUCAUUAAUAUGACCGAUUAUUUGAAUGGUCCAACCUCAUUCGGUCGAACCUUCAAGUCGGUUUCGGACGGCAUCGGAUAAUAAUACAAUGCCAUAAAUAGACAGAGAAGAAAGCCACGAAAAUGGCGCUUCUUCUUCUUCAUCAGAAACCAACAUCCUAUCCCUCAGCCAACUCUCUCCCACCCAAUCUCCUGAAGAAAACCAGAAGAAACAAACAUCACCUGAGUUUUCGUUUCCUGCCGUUGUUCAUCAAGACCUCUGAAUCAAAAGGAUUAUUGACAUCUGAAUCGAAAGUUUCGAUCAGAAAAUGGAGAGGCGAUAACACAGAACAGAGCAUUCUCCGUUGCCGUCAGGGUCGCCGGAGGGAGAGGGGAAAGAAAAUUUCUCCGAUGGGUUCUUCUAUAGCGAGGAAACUGGUCUUCUG
This 424-nucleotide long non-coding RNA is filed under the name Linum usitatissimum (flax). Its description in RNAcentral is "long non-coding RNA (LUSI_LNC008161)". The record is from RNAcentral. Lineage: Eukaryota; Viridiplantae; Streptophyta; Magnoliopsida; Malpighiales; Linaceae.